CGAAGGAUGCAAGCGUUAUCCGGAUUCAUUGGGUUUAAAGGGUGCGUAGGCGGACCUGUAAGUCAGUGGUGAAAUCUCUUUGCCUAACAAAGAAACUGCCAUUGAUACUGCAAGUCUAGAGUAUAGAUGACGUUGGCGGAAUAUGACAUGUAGUGGUGAAAUACUUAGAUAUGUCAUAGAACACCGAUUGCGAAGGCAGCUAACGAAACUAUAACUGACGCUGAGGCACGAAAGUGCGGGGAUCAAACAGGAUUAGAUACCCUGGUAGUCCGCACCGUAAACGAUGAUUACUCGUUGUUGGCAAUAUGACCGUCAGCGACCAAGCGAAAGCGAUAAGUAAUCCACCUGGGGAGUACGCCGGCAACGGUG
This 369-nucleotide ribosomal RNA is filed under the name uncultured organism. Its description in RNAcentral is "bacterial SSU rRNA". It matches the Rfam family "Bacterial small subunit ribosomal RNA", at positions 526 to 896 of the family's 1533-position model. The record is from RNAcentral.